CUACGGGGGGCUCCAGUGGGGAAUAUUGGGCAAUGGGCGCAAGCCUGACCCAGCAACGCCGCGUGAGGGAAGAAGGUUUUCGGAUUGUAAACCUCUGUCCUUGGGGACGAAGAAGUGACGGUACCCAAGGAGGAAGCUCCGGCUAACUACGUGCCAGCAGCCGCGGUAAUACGUAGGGAGCAAGCGUUGUCCGGAAUUACUGGGCGUAAGGGGUGCGUAGGCGGCAUAUUAAGUCAGGUGUGAAAUACUCGGGCUCAACCCGAGGGGUGCAUUUGAAACUGAUAAGCUUGAGUGUGAGAGAGGAAAGUGGAAUUCCUAGUGUAGCGGUGGAAUGCGUAGAUAUUAGGAGGAACACCAGUGGCGAAGGCGACUUUCUGGCUCAUAACUGACGCUGAGGCACGAAAGCGUGGGGAGCAAACAGGAUUAGAUACCCGUGUAGUC
This 441-nucleotide ribosomal RNA is filed under the name uncultured bacterium. Its description in RNAcentral is "partial 16S ribosomal RNA". It matches the Rfam family "Bacterial small subunit ribosomal RNA", at positions 339 to 795 of the family's 1533-position model. The record is from RNAcentral.